Molecule: long non-coding RNA, 1305 nt
Organism: Podarcis raffonei (Aeolian wall lizard)
Lineage: Eukaryota; Metazoa; Chordata; Lepidosauria; Squamata; Lacertidae
Exons: 3
Source: RefSeq, a predicted model, not a curated record
CAUGAGGACACAGGAUUCUGGCAAUGCACAAUUAUAGGGCCUGUUCACAUAUUUUGUGCACAAAAGAACAUUCUCCAUCUUUCUCCCAAAAUAGAGUUUUGUCAGGGAAGUUGUAUGAAAAUAUACCUUUUUUUAUUUCCAGAGAGAAAAUAUGAAUUUUAUUGAUUGUAGGCAGGGGCUCUCUGUGAAGUAACUGAGAGGGCCCAACUGAAGUAUUUAUUGAAUCAUUCAUUUACUUUUAUUUUUAUUUUUGUAUUUGUACUACAGUCUACCUUUCAGCCCACCAGGAGUCUAGUAAUGUUAUCAUUAACAAAGAUGUCAGGGGUAGGAAUACGUAGUCUUGCAAGAGAUCUUCAACAGAAAUAAAUAUAGUGCAAGAUAGCUAACAAAGUAUUGCCAAACACAAAUAAUGUCUGAAGACAUUAGAAGUAAUUGUCAAGGAGAACAUCCUGUUUUGGAGCUUCCUGCUGGUGGGGAAACUGCCAAUAGGCCUCUCAUCUGCAAGUUCAGCCAGCAGAGCUGAGUAGAGUAACACCUCGCCCAGCCCAGCAUAAGGAGGUUUGGACUGCUCUGCCUGACAAGAGAAUUAGUCACGGGACCUUGAUUUAUGCACUCAAAUGCAGUAUUGGUUUGAAAAUGUGACCUGCCAUAUCUUAACAGAACUUUAGAAACGGAGAUGAGUCAGGCUGCAGUCUGGACUCCUGACAGAAAUUUCGUAAACCUGACUCGGCUUGCCAAAAAAGCUGAAGAAACCAACUUGCGUUGACUUCAGCCCCUAAAAAAUGGUCCUUUGUCAAAGGAGUUGUGACUGGUUACACUUGCCAGAAUCUGCUGAAAAACUCAGCUUGUUCAGAUGAAUAUAAAAAAAAUUGCAAAAUGAAGUGAUCCCAAAGUUCCCUUUCCCCUUCACUUGCUAACUAAGCCAACUGUGUUGCUACAUCCAGAAUGGCUCGAGCAAAUUAAUAAAAAGGCCCAAUUCAUUCAUUGCCCUUGUUAUGAAGCUGUUGCCCCAAAUCUGCUCGCUCAUGGCUCACUCCCACACCACAUAGAUAACUUUUUAUUCAUUCAUUCAUUCAUACAUACAUACAUACAUUUAUUUUCAUUUGUGAAUUGCUUCCCAUAAAACAUCCUGAAGCAAUGUAACAAUAAAAACAUAAAAAUACAAUUGUAGUCCAAUCUAUAUAAAGACUUGGAUAAAAACCUCCACUUGUUGGAAGAGGAAGAUAUUCAAUAGGUCCUGGAAAGAUGUUCCCCCCAAAAGGAUAUUUAGCUAGCGUCAAACUGAGUGCUGUCCUAUUUACAUGU